Phialocephala subalpina is the source of this 72-nucleotide non-coding RNA. The record is from the annotation of a GenBank genome assembly. NCBI's taxonomy places the organism in Eukaryota, Fungi, Ascomycota, Leotiomycetes, Helotiales, Mollisiaceae.
AACAGAUAGCACAGUUGGAAGCGCAUGGGGUUAAUAUCCCCAAGGUCCCUGGAUCAAGACCAGGUCGUGCUA